UCAGGAUGAACGCUAGCUACAGGCUUAACACAUGCAAGUCGAGGGGCAGCAUGGUCUUAGCUUGCUAAGGCCGAUGGCGACCGGCGCACGGGUGAGUAACACGUAUCCAACCUGCCGUCUACUCUUGGACAGCCUUCUGAAAGGAAGAUUAAUACAAGAUGGCAUCAUGAGUUCACAUGUUCACAUGAUUAAAGGUAUUCCGGUAGACGAUGGGGAUGCGUUCCAUUAGAUAGUAGGCGGGGUAACGGCCCACCUAGUCUUCGAUGGAUAGGGGUUCUGAGAGGAAGGUCCCCCACAUUGGAACUGAGACACGGUCCAAACUCCUACGGGAGGCAGCAGUGAGGAAUAUUGGUCAAUGGGCGAGAGCCUGAACCAGCCAAGUAGCGUGAAGGAUGACUGCCCUAUGGGUUGUAAACUUCUUUUAUAAAGGAAUAAAGUCGGGUAUGUAUACCCGUUUGCAUGUACUUUAUGAAUAAGGAUCGGCUAACUCCGUGCCAGCAGCCGCGGUAAUACGGAGGAUCCGAGCGUUAUCCGGAUUUAUUGGGUUUAAAGGGAGCGUAGAUGGAUGUUUAAGUCAGUUGUGAAAGUUUGCGGCUCAACCGUAAAAUUGCAGUUGAUACUGGAUAUCUUGAGUGCAGUUGAGGCAGGCGGAAUUCGUGGUGUAGCGGUGAAAUGCUUAGAUAUCACGAAGAACUCCGAUUGCGAAGGCAGCCUGCUAAGCUGCAACUGACAUUGAGGCUCGAAAGUGUGGGUAUC
This 756-nucleotide ribosomal RNA is filed under the name uncultured Bacteroidales bacterium. RNAcentral describes it as "bacterial SSU rRNA". It matches the Rfam family "Bacterial small subunit ribosomal RNA", at positions 24 to 769 of the family's 1533-position model. Lineage: Bacteria; Pseudomonadati; Bacteroidota; Bacteroidia; Bacteroidales. The record is from RNAcentral.